UUUUCUUUCUGGCAUGGAUCAAGAGAAAAGAAAAUACAAGAAAACAGACAGAAGCAAGGCAAGGUACUUCUAUGGAAGGGUGAGCCCUCACAGAUGGAGCAAUGGGGCGCGCACACCUGAACAAGGGAGGGGAAGGAGUUCUUAUCCCUGAUGCAUGUGACCCCUGCUGCUGUGUCCUUCCCCUAUUGGCUAAGGCUUCUGACAGCUUUGGAGAUUGUGACAUUGGAAUAAAGGAAAAACGUACAGGACUCAUGAAGCGCUGAAAUGUUCACAAAUAUCAAGCAAAAGUCAAUGAAAUUUAUUUUGAGCUAUUUACAUCAUUUAAUAAUUGAGCAAGGUAUACUCCUAUGAACAAAAUUUGGAGCAUGUUUGUCUCUCUCUGCCUGGCGUCUUCAGAAUUUGGAAACUAGUUAUGGUUUAUAAUCAGCUAUAGAAUUUUAACACGUGCUCUCAAAUGCAAGUUUCUGAUAACUUUGGAGAUUGUGACAUUGGAAUAAAGGAAGAGCUGGAAUGUUCAUGAAUAUCAAGCAAAAGUCAUGGAAAUUUAUUUUGAGCUAUUUACAGCAUUUAAUAAUUGAGCAAGGUAUACUCCUAUGAACAAAAUUUGGAGCAUGUUUGUCUCUCUCUGUCUGCCUGGCAUCUACAGAAUUUGGAAACUAGUUGAUGCAAUUGGAGAAACUGGUUGUUUUACCAAGGCUUUGACUGGAAGGAUAUGCUUCCCUUUAAGAAACCAAGCUCAACUUACAGAGCUGAUAAAACCCCUUUGGGAAAACUGGCCUCAUACCUUGUCUACACAGUCCCCAUGCAGGGUUCCUAACGUGUGUCGUUCCCAGAUUUCCUAAACUUUCCAGAGAAAAUGGUCUUCUCCCUGGCUCAGCAAGAAGAUGAACUUUAAACACUGAGAAACUGGUCAUCUCCCUGGCUCAACCAGAAGAUGAACUUUAAACACUACUCUCAAUGACUUGAUGUUCCCAUCACUACUCCUGUCAUAAAGGGAGGGGACUCAGAUAUUGAGAAUUUUAUGAUAGUGUGAACUGUCUGGUAUGUCAUUUAAGUAAGCCCGUUGCUGAAAUAUUUUCCAUGUUAUUAGAAAGAGCUGAAGAGAGGGAUUGAGAUGGCUUCUUUAUUUUUUGUCUUUUGGGAAUUAAAGGAACCUGGUUCAACAAGGGCCUACACCUAAGUCUCUUGUUGUACCAGAGUACAAUUUAGGACUGCUCCUGAGGAAGGAAUUAGCUAGAAAUCUAGAGAGUAAGGGUAACAGAUUUACAUAGAAUAACAGCCUCAGUAUUUUUGGUUCCUCUCCAGUAAAGAUCACAAAGAAUAUUGCUAAAUCGCUAAAACACCUUUGCAAUAACGUAAGGGCUUACAACUAUAUACCAAUGUAGCUCAGUUACUAAACUGGAGUAAACUAAUUUCUCUUGUGUAGAAAAAUUGGUUGGCUGUGGUUUUAUAGCAGAUCUGCAAUUAUUAAUAGUUAUGCCAAUAAUCGUUUAACAGUGCAUAUGUUAAUAUAUAUGGAAAGACAAUGUGUAUAGACAGAUGUGUAAAAUUGAAAAAUAAACAUAUAACAAGAGAGAAACAUCUAUCGAACAGACAAUAUACAUACACAUCAAACACAACAGCAGUUUUAGUGACCAUAAUAUUUAUUUCUCAUUUUUACAUUGCUUACUUUAGUGACAACUGAAAAUGACAGUUGGCAAUGCAGCUAACAGUUUCAAUAAAAGUAUAAAACAAAAGAC
Molecule: long non-coding RNA, 1739 nt
Organism: Homo sapiens (human)
Lineage: Eukaryota; Metazoa; Chordata; Mammalia; Primates; Hominidae
Product: long intergenic non-protein coding RNA 320
Source: Ensembl